RNAcentral lists this transfer RNA (362 nucleotides) under uncultured Microcystis sp. RNAcentral describes it as "partial 16S-23S ribosomal RNA intergenic spacer". The stretch from base 135 to 208 matches the Rfam family "tRNA". The record is from RNAcentral. Lineage: Bacteria; Bacillati; Cyanobacteriota; Cyanophyceae; Chroococcales; Microcystaceae.
AAGGGAGACCUAAUUCAGGUAGGAGACGAAAAAAAAGUAGUCCCAACCAAGAAUCAAUCCCAAAAGGUCGGAGCGAGGCGAAAUUGGCUUUCAAACUAGGUUCUGGGUUCACACAAGACCUGAAUCAGGAACAAGGGCUAUUAGCUCAGGUGAUUAGAGCGCACCCCUGAUAAGGGUGAGGUCCCUGGUUCGAGUCCAGGAUGGCCCACCUGCACAGGUGGCAAAAACAAGAGAAGCGAGGAAUCAGCACCUUAUCUUAUCUAUAUAUAUAUAGGAGAGAAUGCUGGCUCUGAGUAAAGAGUCCAGAGGAACCUUGAAAACUGCAUAGAGCUAGGUGAAAAAGCCAAAAAAGAAGACCGCAA